AUCUUGCUCACGAGUCUCGAAUAGGACGAAACGUGCGUCAUGGAU
This 45-nucleotide non-coding RNA is filed under the name Schistosoma curassoni. The record is from RNAcentral. Lineage: Eukaryota; Metazoa; Platyhelminthes; Trematoda; Strigeidida; Schistosomatidae.